RNAcentral lists this ribosomal RNA (479 nucleotides) under uncultured bacterium. RNAcentral describes it as "bacterial SSU rRNA". It matches the Rfam family "Bacterial small subunit ribosomal RNA", at positions 28 to 507 of the family's 1533-position model. The record is from RNAcentral.
GAUGAACGCUAGCGGCAGGCCUAACACAUGCAAGUCGAGGGGCAUCGCGGUGCAGCAAUGCACUGGCGGCGACCGGCGUACGGGUGCGUAACGCGUAUGCAACCUGCCCCGCACCGGGGGAUAGCCCGCCGAAAGGCGGAUUAAUACCCCAUGGUCCCGGGGGCCCGCAUGGGCAUCCGGGUAAAGCCUUGGCGGUGCGGGAUGGGCAUGCGUGCCAUUAGCUGGCUGGUGGGGUAACGGCCCACCAGGGCAACGAUGGCUAGGGGGUCUGAGAGGAUGGUCCCCCACACUGGUACUGAGACACGGACCAGACUCCUACGGGAGGCAGCAGUGAGGAAUAUUGGUCAAUGGGCGGAAGCCUGAACCAGCCAUGCCGCGUGCGGGAUGAAGGCCCUACGGGUUGUAAACCGCUUUCCCGGGAAGAUAAGCCCCCGCGGGGUGAUGCCGGUACCGGGGAAUAAGGAUCGGCUAACUCCGUG